AUGUCCAACAUUGUGUCAGUGUUUCUGUGCCCCAUCCUCCUUUGGGAAGCUCCUGCGCAGUUCUGAGUCUUGGUUGAGGUUGGCAGGCUCCACAGAGGGACCCAGCUGUGGGCUGCUGUGGGCACAGCCCUGUGAGAAGCAGGGGCUAAAAAGAACUGAAGAAGGGAGGGGCCUUUCGACUGACAUAACUGCUGGCUGUAAGGAGAGAAGAACCUGACUGGGAGACAGGAAGACAGGCAAAGAAAAAGAGACAAAGUGAACAAAGAUACCUGAGGCCAAUGAGAAGCUUAGUAACUGAAUCAGACAUUGGGCUGUCUAGUGGGUCAGCAUCAAGUUAAUCAGUUUUUGUGCUCUUCUGGGCUGUGACCUGUGCAAAUGCAGGACAUCACCUUUCCUCCCUUGGAAGCCAGAAUUGCAGCUCUUCUCUUGG
Long non-coding RNA from Melospiza melodia melodia, 430 nucleotides. RefSeq lists it as uncharacterized. The transcript has 4 exons. The record is from RefSeq and is a predicted model, not a curated record. Lineage: Eukaryota; Metazoa; Chordata; Aves; Passeriformes; Passerellidae.